RNAcentral lists this ribosomal RNA (1705 nucleotides) under Lactobacillus delbrueckii subsp. bulgaricus. RNAcentral's name for it is "partial 23S ribosomal RNA". It matches the Rfam family "Bacterial large subunit ribosomal RNA", at positions 1216 to 2925 of the family's 2925-position model. The record is from RNAcentral. Lineage: Bacteria; Bacillati; Bacillota; Bacilli; Lactobacillales; Lactobacillaceae.
UUUAUGCACGUGGUAGGAGAGCGUUCUAGCGGCGGUGAAGCAUGACCGAGAGGACAUGUGGAGCUUCUAGAAGUGAGAAUGCCGGUAUGAGUAACGAAAGACAGGUGAGAAUCCUGUCCGCCGCAAGACUAAGGUUUCCUGGGGCAGGCUCGUCCGCCCAGGGUAAGUCGGGACCUAAGGCGAGGCCGAGAGGCGUAGUCGAUGGACAACAGGUUGAAAUUCCUGUACUGCACCGAAUCGUUAUGAGCGAUGGAGGGACGCAGGAGGCUAGCAGCGCGUGGUGCUGGAUACCACGUUCAAGCGUCAAGUCUGAGAGCGAGUCAAAUGCUUGCUCUCAUAAGGACAAGGCGUGAUGAGGAGCGAAAUUAAAGUAGCGAAGGCUGCGACGUCACACUGCCGAGAAAAGCUUCUAGCCAGAGACGGUGCACCCGUACCGCAAACCGACACAGGUAGUCGAGGAGAGUAUCCUCAGGUGAGCGAGAGAACUCUCGUUAAGGAACUCGGCAAAAUGGCCCCGUAACUUCGGGAGAAGGGGCGCUGGUCGCAAGAUCAGCCGCAGUGAAAAGGCCCAAGCAACUGUUUAUCAAAAACACAGGCAUCUGCAAAAUCGUAAGAUGAAGUAUAGGUGCUGACACCUGCCCGGUGCUGGAAGGUUAAGAGGAGAGCUUAGCGCAAGCGAAGGUUUGAAUUGAAGCCCCAGUAAACGGCGGCCGUAACUAUAACGGUCCUAAGGUAGCGAAAUUCCUUGUCGGGUAAGUUCCGACCUGCACGAAAGGUGUAAUGAUUUGGGCACUGUCUCAACGAGAGACUCGGUGAAAUUAUAAUACCCGUGAAGAUGCGGGUUACCCGCGACAGGACGGAAAGACCCCAUGGAGCUUUACUGCAGUUUAAUAUUGGGUAUCUGUCAAGCAUGUACAGGAUAGGUAGGAGCCGGAGAAGAUAGGACGCCAGUCUUAUCAGAGGCGCUGUUGGGAUACUACCCUUGCUUGACGGAUGCUCUAACUCAGGCCUGUGAUCCAGGCCGAGGACAGUGUUUGACGGGCAGUUUGACUGGGGCGGUCGCCUCCUAAAGUGUAACGGAGGCGCCCAAAGGUUCCCUCAGAAUGGUUGGAAAUCAUUCGCAGAGUGUAAAGGUAAAAGGGAGCUUGACUGCGAGAGAGACAACUCGAGCAGGUACGAAAGUAGGGCUUAGUGAUCUGGUGGUACCGUAUGGAAGGGCCAUCACUCAACGGAUAAAAGCUACCCUGGGGAUAACAGGCUUAUCUCCCCCAAGAGUUCACAUCGACGGGGAGGUUUGGCACCUCGAUGUCGGCUCGUCGCAUCCUGGGGCUGAAGUCGGUCCCAAGGGUUGGGCUGUUCGCCCAUUAAAGCGGCACGCGAGCUGGGUUCAGAACGUCGUGAGACAGUUCGGUCCCUAUCCGUCGUGGGCGUAGGAAAUUUGAGAGGAGCUGUCCUUAGUACGAGAGGACCGGGAUGGACGCACCGCUGGUGUACCAGUUGUCUUGCCAAAGGCAUCGCUGGGUAGCUAUGUGCGGACGGGAUAAGCGCUGAAAGCAUCUAAGUGCGAAGCCCCCCUCAAGAUGAGAUUUCCCAUUUCUUCAAGAAAGUAAGACACCUCAGAGACGAUGAGGUAGAUAGGCCGGGAGUGGAAGAGCCGUGAGGCUUGGAGCGGACCGGUACUAAUCAGUCGAGGACUUGACCAAAA